CGUGCGUCUGAAUGAAAAACGCGUCCGAAUUUCUUUUAAUAUUUUUGCUCAUAUUAUUAUAAAAAUUGCAACGUAUUUGUUUUUUAAUUUAUAGUCUGAGAAAUGUGUAUUUAUUCUAUGGUAUUGGUGUAUGUGAUGUGAUAAUGUGAUGUGCAAUUUCGUCUGAAAUGGAGACAAAUGCAAAUCAGAAGGUGUCGUGCAUAGUAAACUACGCGUACGACGCGUCGGAGCCAGACGAGCUAUCCAUUCGUCCGGGGGACGUGGUGCGGGACGUAGAGCGGCUGCCAGGCGGAUGGUGGCGCGGCGAGCUGCGCCAGCGCCGCGGCAUGUUCCCCGACAACUUCGUCUCCGUGCUUAACGACCAUGCUACUGGCAGGUCAUCGGUGCAGGGCCGGUGUCGAGCGGUGUUCAGCUACCAGCCUGCCAACCCUGAUGAGCUGCCUCUCUGCGUUGGAGACGUCCUCGACGUACUUGGGGAGGUCGAAGAAGGGUGGUGGCAGGGGCGGCGGCAGGGCCGCGUCGGCGUGUUCCCCUCCAACUUCGUAGUCAUGCUGGACGCGCAACCCGCGGCCGCCUUCGAGCCAGCGCCCGCGCUCCCACCCAAACCCGUGAAGGAGCAGUGCCGCGUGUUGUUCCCGUACACGGCGGUGAACGACGACGAGUUGACCCUGGCUGAAGGCGACAUCGUGAGCAUCGUGUCGAAGGACGCGCCCGACCGCGGCUGGUGGCGCGGCGAGCUGCACGGCCGCCAGGGACUGUUCCCGGACAACUUCGUGCAGAUCAUACCCGCCGUUGCACAAGAUGCAGAGGAGAAGAAACCAGAGCGACCGCCGAGCAAGACGUCCAACGCUGUCUACCCCAUACUCAACAAGUACUCGGAGAAAACCGCCUCCGUCAAAGAACUGACCACUUCUAAAAUAAGUUUGCACAAAGAGAACACAAUAAGCAAGGAGAGCAGCACACAAAGUACAGUCACGCACACAAACAAGAGCGAGUCGGAGAAGCUGAUACACAGCGAGACGGUCUCCGAUGGAACCUUAGACGGACAGAUAAAGAAACCUCCAGUGCCAUUGAAGAAGAGCCCUACACCCACAUCGGCCGUCACCGGGCUGUUCAGCGGGCUCAAGAGCAAGAUGCUGCCGAACGCUGACAAAGAGAAAGAGAAGUCCCCGGCGGCGGCGGCGUCGAGCGGCAGCAGCAGCGGCAGCGGCGGCGAGUGGGACCGGCCGGACGGCGCCGCGCAGGCGCGCCCCGCCAGCACCUUCGACCACGUCGAGCGGAACUCCAUACUCAACGACCCGCGCGCCGGCAGAGUGAAAGCACCAAGGCGACGGCCGCCCAGCCAAACACUCCGCGACGACACCCCACUACAAAUUGGACUCAGUAAUGGACAUGAAGACUUGCUUGACCCAGGCAACCCUGUUCCAGCUGAAAAAACUCUGACAGAGAAGGCGGAAGAGAUCAAGCCUCGUACUCGCGAGUGGGAGAAACACCGCGCGCCGUGGAUGGAGGAGCUGAAGCUGAACCAGGCCAAGAAGACCAGCUUCGGGGCCGAGGGCAAGUCGCGCUCCGUGAGCUCAGACGCCGGCGUCGCGGGCAAGACGACCACCGGCAGCACUGACCGAAUUCUAGACUGCGGCUUAGAAGAAAAACGGUCGACACAUUCAAUGGAAAUGUCCAAAAGCACGUCGUCUAUCAGCAGCCGGAUAUCAGUCCUGGAGAGCUUCGAUGAGACGAAGGUCCGCCACUCGCUGGAGUCCAAGAAGGAUGUGGCACCCCCGCCCCCCACCAGCGAGCCCCCCAGCAACAAGCCCACGGCACAGUCGCCCACCGCCGCGGGCCGCACGUUCACGACAAUGCUGGACGAGCUGAAGAAGCCGGCGCCGCCCGCCGCCACGGCGCGCACGCACAACGACAUCGACAAGUCCCCCCACAGGAGCGAGAGGACCACGCUCACGGCCGAGAAGCAAAGCGAGCUCACGAAGCUGUCAAGCGGGGUGUUGGACAAGACAAGUACUGUGGAGAGAAUGGAGAAGACGACCGAGGAGAGGAGCAUAGGGGAUAAAGUGAGCUCUCUGGAGAGGCGAGGUCACAAGGGCGACCGGAGUGAUGUGGAGGCGUUAGUCGCGCAGCUCAAUAAUAGGAUAACAAACUUGGAGAAGCUACUAGAAGUUCAAAAUGCGAAGUUCAACGCGGCCAUCGCCGAGCUGACCACCAAGUUGAACAUGGAGACGGAGAAGAGACAGGCUCUGCAGGCCGAGGUGGAGAAACUGGCGCACUGCGUCACCUCCGUGUAGGGAUACACCAAAUAUUCGCAGCACUCCUACAGCACUUUAGCACAUUAUGAUUCCAGAACACACCAUCUAAUUUUAUUUUAAGUUAUACCCGUCAUUUUCUUAUCCGCCGAAAAGAAAGGAGACGGGUAAUCUACAGGCAUAAAAUUUAUGGGACAUUCAAUUUUCGGCAGAAAUUUAAACAACACUCAAAAUUUUACAUUACCCAAUAACCCGAGAGUAAAGGUUAAGUUGGCAGCUUCUUAACACGCUCGUCCCGGCAAGAGCUGCGGGUUCAAGCCCCGUCCAAGUCAGAUUUUUCUUUCGAUUUAAUUUUAAAUUUGACAGCACACGUUUAACGCCCGAGUUAUUCAUUCAUUUAAAAAAUUACAAGCCGUCAAUCAUUCGUCCCUUUACUUUUGCGCGGAUAACAAUAUUAUAGGUGUAACUUAAAAUAAAUUUAGGUGUCUGCAGGAAUCAGCUUCCUCAUUAAAUAUAGCUUGUUUAGAAUAAUAACAGGACAGGGACAAAGUAUACAGUAUUGGUGCUGAACUAUCGAUAGAUAACCUUGAAAAUCAUCUAUACUGUCGAUAGUUUGUUGUCGAUAGUAGUGACUACUGCAAGAACUAUCUACAGUAUUGUUUUUUUUACUAUCGAUAGGCAACACUAUUAUAUAUAAUUAAAACACAUAAUACGGGUUCUUACCGCGUUUUAUUGUGUUAUUAUGUGUUUUAAUUAUGAUAAUAACCGCGUAAACUUAAAACAAUGUAUAACACUUUUAUACAAUCUAGUCACACCCCGGACACUACAUAGAAUAAUAUGUUUCUUACACAGACUGUACAGUCCGACCGACGGUAAAUUCCACUUGAUAUCAAUUCAGAAUCAUGGUCUGAAUCAUCCCUCUAAAGUUUUCAUUACGAUGUCACUAACACCCUGUAUAUAUCAUAAUGCUAUAUUUGAUGAGGUAUAUAAUCUGCUACAGUGUUACGAGUGGUCAGGGGCCUUAUUUUUGAAUCGCUCACCUUCAACUCGCGUGCGAAAAUGUAUACCUGUCUCAUCUUGCAAAUAGCAAGUUCUGAUGUGCUGCGUGAAAUAGGUAUAUUAUAUAUGUUCGAACGUGACUUGUAGGCGAGCGUUCAGAAAUAAGGCCUCAGGUUACAGAUGUAUUUUUAAUAAAGCUCGAUUCUAACAUGAUACCUCAAUAACACAAGGUCACGUCACAUUUUCGAAAAAAAAAAGGCUGUAUGUGGUGUAUUCUUCACUUGUAUUUUAUAUUUCUAUUUUACAUUCACAUUGGUUCUGAUUCCAGUACUCAGCAUCUAAUUUUAUUUUAAGUUAUACCAGUCAUUUUCUUAUCCGCCGAAAAGGAAAGGGACCGGUAAUCGACAGGCAUAAAAUUUAUGGAACACAUGACAAUUUUAGGUAGAAAAAAAUAAUAAUUAAAAAAAAUACACUUCCAGAAUGGUAUAUUGGUCAAUAACCCGACAGAAUUAGCAUUAGAAUAGAUAUAUAGAAUUAGCGAGAUGCCUAUUUUAUUCGUCCGGGUUAUUCAUUCAUUUUAAAAUUAACAGUUGUCAAUCAUCCGUCCGUCCUUUUCGGCGGAUAAGAAAAUUACGGGUAUAACUUAAAUUAAAUUAGGAGGUGUAUGCAGGAAUCGGGCCCAAUAUUUGUAUCAAGAUUAAUUUCUAAACGAUAAAGGGCACAUCAUAUAAAGUCUACGUUUGAUGACAUACACAAAAUCAUGUAUAUUUACCACCGGGGUAAGCAGAGAUUAUGAAAUUUAAUUUGCUUCGAUCCUACACUACAUACUGUGUAUGUACAGAUGCUAUAUUAUUUAUUUAUUUAUUGCUGUACUAUUGUACAUAGGAGUAGCCUACGCCCUACAGUUGAUUAAGGUGUGGGCACAGGAAGGACCAUCAGCCCAUCGGUGGCCCAUCAGUGGGACAUAUAUGGGCUGUUUGUAUAAUGUUCAUGAUCAAUGACCAUACAUCAUAUCCCAAACAUUAUCCCGUUUAUUCACAGGGCCGUUAACCUAACCUGUAGAUUUGACGGGUCGGUUUUUUACAGACGCGACUGCCUGUCUGACCUUCCAACUCGAGAAGGAAAUACCAGUCCAUUACAGGUUAUAUUAAUACAAGCCUCUUAAAAUAUAGUAUAGAUACUAAAUGAUGUAUCAAGCAAUUUGUGUAUUGAUUUACUUCUAACGUCAUGUGAGGGUCGAGCUUAAAAAUGGGUUUGAUCAAACCUAUAACACGAUUCAACAAGAGGAUUGCUUAUACGUAAAUAAGUGACGUUAUAUUUAACACAAUAGUUACAAUCAUGGUGUAAGAAAACCAGGUAUGCUCAAUCCUAUGACAAGCCGCCAUU
This 4640-nucleotide unclassified non-coding RNA is filed under the name Pectinophora gossypiella (pink bollworm). Its description in RNAcentral is "sH3 domain-containing kinase-binding protein 1-like". The record is from RNAcentral. Lineage: Eukaryota; Metazoa; Arthropoda; Insecta; Lepidoptera; Gelechiidae.